This is a long non-coding RNA of Antechinus flavipes (yellow-footed antechinus), 1221 nucleotides long. RefSeq lists it as uncharacterized. The record is from RefSeq and is a predicted model, not a curated record. Lineage: Eukaryota; Metazoa; Chordata; Mammalia; Dasyuromorphia; Dasyuridae. The transcript has 3 exons.
CUUUUGGUUUACUUUGUAGAAGUAGCAAUAUUUUGGCUCAAAUCUGAAUAAAGAGAAGGAUAUGAAAAGAAUUAAAGGAAGCACAUCAAAUUCCUGGAAACUUUCAUUAUUUUGAUGCAUAUGUGCAAGAGAGAUAGCUUGUUGGAAGAGAACUCAAGAUGCAAACUGAUAUAGGUUGUACAUGGACUAUCACUUUUUAACAUUUUUUCAUGUGAAUCAUGGUGGGAAAGAAGAAUCAGAACAAAAGGGAAAAAUCAUGAAAAAAAAACAAAACAACUCAGCAAAAAAGGUGAAAAUAGUAUGCUUCGAUCUCCAUUCAGUCUCCCUAAUUCUUUCUCUGGAUGUGGAUGGCAUUUUUCAUCCAAUGUCUAUUGGAAUUGUCUUGCAUCACUAUUAUUAUUAAGAAGAGCUUAGUCUAUCAUAGUUGAUACCUUGCUGUUAUUGUGUACUAUGUUUUCCUGGUUCUGCUCACUUCACUCAGCAUCAGUUCAUAUAAGUCUUUCUAGACUUUUCUGAAAUCAGUCUGGUCAUCAUAUUUUAUAGAAUAAUGAUAUUCUAUUACAUUCUUAAGCCAUAACUUAUUUUAGCAUUCCCCAGUUGAUGAAUAUCCACUCAAUUUCUAAUUCCUUGCCACUACAGAAAUUGCUGCUACAAACAUUUUUGUAUAUGUAGGUCUUCUUCAUUUUUUCAUGAUUUUUUGGGAUACAAAUCCAGUAGUGGCACUUCUGGAUCAAAGGAUAUGCACAAUUUUAUAGUCCUUUGGGCAUAAUUCCAAAUUGCUCUUCAGAAUGUCUGGAUCAUUUCACAAUUCUACUAACAAUGCAUUUGGGUCCCUAUUUUCCCAUAUUCCCUCUAACAUUCAUCAUUAUCUUUUUUGGUCAUUUUAGUUGUAAGGUGAUGUGUCCUAGUGGUUUUAAUUUGCAUUUCUCUAAUCAAUAAUUGUAUAGAGCAUUUUUUAAAUAUGAUCAUAGAUGGCUUUAAUUUCUUUAUCUGAAAAUUGCCUUUUCUUGUCCUUUGACCAUUAAUCAGUUGGGGAAUGACUUGUAUUCUCAUAAAUUUGAGUUCUCUAUAUAUUUUGGAAAUGAGGCCUUUGUUAGAAACACUGAUUUAAAAAAUUAUUUCUCAGCUUUCUGCUUCCCUUCUAAUCUUGGAAUCGUUUGUUUUGUUUGUGUAAAUGCUUUUUAAUUUAAUGUAAUCAAAAAUAUCCAUUUUAAAGUAAAG